UAGCCAUGAUGCAGGCAUGAAUUCAAGAGAUCCCUAAAUCUCUCCCAAUAGUGGAAGGUCUCUUCUUCUUUUUGAGAAAAAAUUCAUAUUCUCACUCCUUGAGGUG
Small nucleolar RNA from Magnolia sinica, 106 nucleotides. The record is from RefSeq and is a predicted model, not a curated record. Lineage: Eukaryota; Viridiplantae; Streptophyta; Magnoliopsida; Magnoliales; Magnoliaceae.